Molecule: ribosomal RNA, 292 nt
Filed under: uncultured bacterium
Lineage: Bacteria
Description: partial 16S ribosomal RNA
Rfam family: Bacterial small subunit ribosomal RNA
Source: RNAcentral
GUGCCAGCAGCCGCGGUAAUACGAAGGUCCCGAGCGUUGUUCGGAAUCACUGGGCGUAAAGGGAGCGUAGGCGGCGUGGUAAGUCAGAUGUGAAAUCCCGGGGCUCAACCCCGGAACUGCAUCCGAUACUGCCGUGCUAGAGGAUUGGAGAGGUAGCUGGAAUUCUUGGUGUAGCAGUGAAAUGCGUGGAUAUCAAGAGGAACACUCGUGGCGAAAGCGAGCUACUGGACAACUCCUGACGCUGAGGCUCGAAGGCCAGGGUAGCGAAAGGGAUUAGAUACCCCGGUAGUCC